UGAAUACGAGACGCUAAGGCGUCGAAGUAGUGUAUGUCAUACUUCCAAGAGAAGCUUGCACUGUCAUAGAUAAAAAACGCCUGUACCAUAACCGACACAGGUGGGUAGGUAGAGUAUACUAAGGGGCGCGAGAUAACUCUCUCUAAGGAACUCGGCAAAAUAACUCCGUAACUUCGGGAGAAGGAGUGCCUUAUUCGUAAGGUUGCAAUAACAAGAUCCAAGCAACUGUUUAUCGAAAACACAGGUCUCCGCUAAGUCGUAAGACGAUGUAUGGGGGCUGACGCCUGCCCAGUGCCAGAAGGUUAAAGAAGUUGGUUAGCAAUUGCGAAGCUGAUAACUGAAGCCCUGGUGAACAGCGGCCGUAACAAUAACGGUCCUAAGGUAGCGAAAUUCCUUGUCGGGUAAGUUCCGACCCGCACGAAAGGCGUAAUGAUUUGGAUACUGUCUCGGAGAGGGGCUCGGUGAAAUAGACUUGUCUGUGAAGAUGCGGACUACCUGCACCAGGACAGAAAGACCCUAUGAAGCUUUACUGUAACUUGAAAUUGAAAUUGGACUUUAUUCGCGCAGUAUAGGUGGGAGGCGUUGAUUAAAAUCUUGUGGGAUUAUUGGAGCCAUCAGUGAGAUACCACUCUUGUAAUGUUAGAUUUCUAACUUUGAAUCAUUAUCUGGUCAAAGAACAGUUUCAGGCGGGCAGUUUGACUGGGGCGGUCGCCUCCUAAACGGUAACGGAGGCGUACAAAGGUUUCCUCUGAACGGUUAGAAAUCGUAUCUAGAGUGUAAAGGCAUAAGGAAGCUUGACUGUGAGACCUACAAGUCGAGCAGGGACGAAAGUCGGUCUUAGUGAUCUGACGGUACUGAGUGGAAAGGCCGUCACUCAACGGAUAAAAGUUACUCUAGGAUAACAGGCUGAUCUCCCCCAAGAGUUCACAUCGACGGGGAGGUUUGGCACCUCGAUGUCGGCUCAUCGCAUCCUGGGGCGGUAGUACGUCCCAAGGGUUGGGCUGUUCGCCCAUGAAAGCGGUACGCGAGCUGGGUUCAGAACGUCGUGAGACAGUUCGGUCCAUAUCCGGUGUAGGCGUUAGAAUAUUGAGAGGAGCCUUCUUUAGUACGAGAGGACCGAGAAGGACAUACCUCUGGUGUACCAGUUAUCGUGCCAACGGUAAACGCUGGGUAGCUAUGUAUGGAGUGGAUAACCGCUGAAAGCAUCUAAGUGGGAAGCCCACCUCAAGAUAAGUAUUCUCA
Molecule: ribosomal RNA, 1242 nt
Filed under: metagenome
Description: bacterial LSU rRNA
Rfam family: Bacterial large subunit ribosomal RNA
Source: RNAcentral